Molecule: non-coding RNA, 91 nt
Filed under: Aliiglaciecola lipolytica E3
Lineage: Bacteria; Pseudomonadati; Pseudomonadota; Gammaproteobacteria; Alteromonadales; Alteromonadaceae
Description: Bacterial small subunit ribosomal RNA
Rfam family: Bacterial small subunit ribosomal RNA
Source: Rfam by way of RNAcentral
UAAUUGAAGAGUUUGAUCAUGGCUCAGAUUGAACGCUGGCGGCAGGCCUAACACAUGCAAGUCGAACGGUAGCAGGAAGUGCUUGCACUUC